GCCGGAGUGGUGGAAUUGGUAGACACAAGGGACUUAAAAUCCCUCGGAGCCUGGCUCCGUGCCGGUUCGAGUCCGGCCUCCGGCACCA
This 88-nucleotide transfer RNA is filed under the name Nitrospirota bacterium. Its description in RNAcentral is "tRNA-Leu". It matches the Rfam family "tRNA". From Rfam's summary of the family: Transfer RNA (tRNA) molecules are approximately 80 nucleotides in length. Their secondary structure includes four short double-helical elements and three loops (D, anti-codon, and T loops). Lineage: Bacteria; Pseudomonadati; Nitrospirota. The record is from RNAcentral.